GGGGGCUUACAAUUGACGCGGGCUGGACCUCUCGGGGUUACAGCCUUGCUGAAUUAUUCACCCUUGUCUUUUGCGUACUUCUUGUUUCCUUGGUGGGUUCGCCCACCACUAGGACAAACAUAAACCUUUUGUAAUUGCAAUCAGCGUCAGUAACAAAUUAAUAAUUACAACUUUCAACAACGGAUCUCUUGGUUCUGGCAUCGAUGAAGAACGCAGCGAAAUGCGAUAAGUAGUGUGAAUUGCAGAAUUCAGUGAAUCAUCGAAUCUUUGAACGCACAUUGCGCCCUUUGGUAUUCCAAAGGGCAUGCCUGUUCGAGCGUCAUUUGUACCCUCAAGCUUUGCUUGGUGUUGGGCGUCUUGUCUCUAGCUUUGCUGGAGACUCGCCUUAAAGUAAUUGGCAGCCGGCCUACUGGUUUCGGAGCGCAGCACAAGUCGCACUCUCUAUCAGCAAAGGUCUAGCAUCCAUUAAGCCUUUUUUUCAACUUUUGACCUCGGAUCAGGUAGGGAUACCCGCUGAACUUAAGCAUAUCAAAAGCCCGGGAGGGAA
RNAcentral lists this ribosomal RNA (547 nucleotides) under Alternaria gaisen. RNAcentral's name for it is "eukaryotic LSU rRNA". The stretch from base 169 to 322 matches the Rfam family "5.8S ribosomal RNA". Lineage: Eukaryota; Fungi; Ascomycota; Dothideomycetes; Pleosporales; Pleosporaceae. The record is from RNAcentral.